UACGUAGGGUGCAAGCGUUGUCCGGAAUUAUUGGGCGUAAAGGGCUCGUAGGCGGUUUGUCGCGUCGGGAGUGAAAACCAGGUGCUUAACACCUGGCUUGCUUUCGAUACGGGCAGACUAGAGGUAUUCAGGGGAGAACGGAAUUCCUGGUGUAGCGGUGAAAUGCGCAGAAUAUCAGGAGGAACACCGGUGGCGAAGGCGGGACUCUGGGCCGAUACUGACGCUGGAGGAGCGAAAGCGUGGGGAGCAAACAGGA
Molecule: ribosomal RNA, 256 nt
Filed under: uncultured bacterium
Lineage: Bacteria
Description: partial 16S ribosomal RNA
Rfam family: Bacterial small subunit ribosomal RNA
Source: RNAcentral